GGGAAUCUUCCGCAAUGGACGAAAGUCUGACGGAGCAACGCCGCGUGAACGAUGAAGGCUUUCGGGUCGUAAAGUUCUGUUGUCAGGGAAGAACAAGUACCGGAGUAACUGCCGGUACCUUGACGGUACCUGACCAGAAAGCCACGGCUAACUACGUGCCAGCAGCCGCGGUAAUACGUAGGUGGCAAGCGUUGUCCGGAAUUAUUGGGCGUAAAGCGCGCGCAGGCGGUUCCUUAAGUCUGAUGUGAAAGCCCCCGGCUCAACCGGGGAGGGUCAUUGGAAACUGGGGAACUUGAGUGCAGAAGAGGAGAGCGGAAUUCCACGUGUAGCGGUGAAAUGCGUAGAGAUGUGGAGGAACACCAGUGGCGAAGGCGGCUCUCUGGUCUGUAACUGACGCUGAGGCGCGAAAGCGUGGGGAGCGAACAGGAUUAGAUACCCUGGUAGUCCACGCCGUAAACGAUGAGUGCUAAGUGUUAGAGGGUUUCCGCCCUUUAGUGCUGCAGCAAACGCAUUAAGCACUCCGCCUGGGGAGUACGGCCGCAAGGCUGAAACUCAAAGGAAUUGACGG
RNAcentral lists this ribosomal RNA (568 nucleotides) under uncultured bacterium. Its description in RNAcentral is "bacterial SSU rRNA". It matches the Rfam family "Bacterial small subunit ribosomal RNA", at positions 357 to 916 of the family's 1533-position model. The record is from RNAcentral.